Long non-coding RNA from Diceros bicornis minor, 599 nucleotides. RefSeq lists it as uncharacterized. The record is from RefSeq and is a predicted model, not a curated record. The transcript has 5 exons. Lineage: Eukaryota; Metazoa; Chordata; Mammalia; Perissodactyla; Rhinocerotidae.
AAAAUUAAAAAAAAAAUUCCUUCUGUUUGAAAUACUUAGGUGGUGGUUUCUAUUUCCCUGAUUGGACACUGACUGAUACACCUCCUCUAAGGUAGGCACUGUAGGGGCCCACAGGCUGAAGACACUGUUCUUUUCUUCAAGAGUCCUACAGAUCAAGUGUGAAGACAGUAAGGCCCGAGUUCUCCCUACGGGAAGAUUAGAACACCUAUACCGCGAUGCCAAUGUCAGCCGUGUGAUGUGGAUGCAGGUAAUUAGAGCCGACAGGAGACGUCAGGCUAUGACUUCUGCACUCCCACCUCGGCAAAAGCAGAGGUGUGUAUGGCGGCUAACCUAAGUACAAGAACUCGUUUCGACUGAUGGAAUGCAGCAUAACCCCUAGGCAUUCCACAUCGGUUACCUGGAUGCGGACCUGAAGUACAUGGGACACAAUCUAAGCUUUUCUUGAAUACUCAACAAUUUUUCUUUGAAGAUCAAUUACUACACUGUGCUGUAAGUGGAGCAAGCUCCUCAGAAGACAAUGCAAUAGGAAUAGCUGCUUUAAACACAAAUGGUUCAGAUCAUAGAGUAAAAGAGCAGGAAUAUGUACUGAACAUUAAAAG